RNAcentral lists this ribosomal RNA (484 nucleotides) under uncultured bacterium. RNAcentral describes it as "partial 16S ribosomal RNA". It matches the Rfam family "Bacterial small subunit ribosomal RNA", at positions 29 to 507 of the family's 1533-position model. The record is from RNAcentral.
AUUGAACGCUGGCGGCAUGCUUUACACAUGCGAGUCGAACGGCAGCGCGGGCUUCGGCCUGGCGGCGCGUGGCGAACGGGUGAGUAAUACAUCGGAACGUGCCCAGUAGUGGGGGAUAGCUCGGCGAAAGCCGGAUUAAUACCGCAUACGACCUGAGGGUGAAAGCGGGGGAUCUUCGGACCUCGCGCUGUUGGAGCGGCCGAUGGCAGAUUAGCUAGUUGGUGGGGUAAAGGCCUACCAAGGCGACGAUCUGUAGCUGGUCUGAGAGGACGACCAGCCACACGGGGACUGAGACACGGCCCAGACUCCUACGGGAGGCAGCAGUGGGGAAUUUUGGACAAUGGGCGAAAGCCUGAUCCAGCAAUGCCGCGUGUGUGAUGAAGGCCUUCGGGUUGUAAAGCACUUUUGGCGGGAACGAAAAGGACUGUGCCAAUACCACGGUUCGAUGACGGUACCCGCAGAAUAAGCACCGGCUAACUACGUG